The submitters of this regulatory RNA element (53 nucleotides) gave its source as uncultured archaeon A07HR60. It matches the Rfam family "leuA-Halobacteria RNA". The record is from Rfam.
UACGCAUGAGGAUAGAGGAAGUCGUGUAGAAGCGACUGGUCGAGAAAUUCGCC